CGAAAAAGAUGCAAAGGCUCUUCCACAUCUAGAGUCUUUACUAAACAAGUGUGCAGAGGCUAUAGCUCCACUUCUUGAUAAUGUAGCACCAGAUGUCAGAAACCUUUACUCUUCUGGAAUUUUGAACAGAAUAAAGCAUUUACCCAAUUAUAUGCCUCUCAUAAGGACUGCUUCUGUUUUAGGAAAAGAUAUCCCUCAGUUAUACGAACUGAUGACUGCUCCAGCUUCUAAAAUUCUUGAUCGCUGGUUGGAGUCUGAACCACUGAAAGCAACUUUAGCUACAGACAGUGUCAUAGGGGCCAUGAUCAGUCCCAA
Penaeus vannamei (Pacific white shrimp) is the source of this 315-nucleotide non-coding RNA. Lineage: Eukaryota; Metazoa; Arthropoda; Malacostraca; Decapoda; Penaeidae. The record is from RefSeq and is a predicted model, not a curated record.